CCUACGGGUGGCAGCAGUGAGGAAUAUUGGUCAAUGGACGAGAGUCUGAACCAGCCAAGUAGCGUGAAGGAUGACUGCCCUAUGGGUUGUAAACUUCUUUUAUAUGGGAAUAAAAUGUUCCACGUGUGGGCUUUUGUAUGUACCAUAUGAAUAAGGAUCGGCUAACUCCGUGCCAGCAGCCGCGGUAAUACGGAGGAUCCGAGCGUUAUCCGGAUUUAUUGGGUUUAAAGGGAGCGUAGGUGGAUUGUUAAGUCAGUUGUGAAAGUUUGCGGCUCAACCGUAAAAUUGCAGUUGAAACUGGCAGUCUUGAGUAAAGUAGAGGUGGGCGGAAUUCGUGGUGUAGCGGUGAAAUGCUGAGAUAUCACGAAGAACUCCGAUUGCGAAGGCAGCUCACUGGACUGCAACUGACACUGAGGCUCGAAAGUGUGGGUAUCAAACAGGAUUAGAUACCCGAGUAGUC
RNAcentral lists this ribosomal RNA (460 nucleotides) under uncultured bacterium. RNAcentral describes it as "partial 16S ribosomal RNA". It matches the Rfam family "Bacterial small subunit ribosomal RNA", at positions 338 to 795 of the family's 1533-position model. The record is from RNAcentral.